GUAGAUGAGGGUGUUUUGAGCCUGGGACUGAAGAAGGUGUUGCCCUGGUGAGAAUGGUUAUAGCCAAAAGCGGAGAAAAAAAUUCUUGGGCUCGAAAUCUUUGAACAUUCAUCCAGCAUCCCAUCCUUUACCUCACUGGCAUGGAUGCAGCAACCAGGUUCCAUCUUGGAAGCAGAGACUGGGCCCUCAUCAGACACAGGACCUGCCAGCACCUCGAUCUUGUACAUCCAGCCUCAAGAACUGGUUAAUCCAGUGCAGAAACAGCUUCAUCUUGUUAUCCAAGCCAACUUCUGGAGCUUCUGGAAGGAUGAUGCUCUUCCAAGCUGAGAAAUGAUCACAGACCAGACUAGCAGCUGGGAGACUGCAAAGAAGAAGAGAUUACCUUUUCAUGAGAAACAGCAGCUUCCACAACUUCUCGGCUUCUUCCUGUGAAGUUCUCCUAGCUGAAGAAACAGAAGAUAGUGAGUGUUAUGUGGAACUGGAGAGGAUUCAGGGACAUCCUAUAAGAAGCUGAAGGCCUUUUAAUGAGAAGAUACUGAAAACCCCAGAGUCAGAACACUAAGUCACAUCUGUGUAUAACUUAACCGUUUACGAUGUGUUGUUCUGCACCUUGUCUCAUUUGUCCUUCACCAUCACACUGGGAGUGAGGAAGGAUCAUCACAUGCCCAUUUUAUGGAGAACAAGACUGAGAGUUGAAGAGACUUCCACAGGUUUGUAAAACUAGUAAAUGACAGAGUUGAGGACUUCUGCCCUAAUUCCUCAUUCUUUAUUCUCAGGAGGAUAAGAUAGAGAAUUUUUUAAUGUGCCUAGGCUCUGAUUUUCCACCCAAGGAAGUCUUCCAUGAGAAAUUGUCCCUGGGGGGUACUAGAGUCUGCAGUGGUUAGAGCACCUGCUGUUAGCAGCAGGGGUCAUAGAGGGUCAGGAUCCGUGGGAACCUCACUCACAGCAGAAGUGAAUUAGAGGAGAGACUGGGACUUUACCUCUUGAUGUUCUAUCUCCAGACUUUUGUUGGACUCUUCGGUGACACUUAAAGACAAAAACAUUAGAAUGCAAAGCUGCUACACCAUUUUUUCCCAUAUCUAAAAUGAAACAAAACUCAUAAAC
RNAcentral lists this long non-coding RNA (1104 nucleotides) under Homo sapiens (human). Its description in RNAcentral is "HSALNT0148429". The record is from RNAcentral. Lineage: Eukaryota; Metazoa; Chordata; Mammalia; Primates; Hominidae.